Molecule: ribosomal RNA, 519 nt
Filed under: uncultured eukaryote
Lineage: Eukaryota
Description: SSU rRNA
Rfam family: Eukaryotic small subunit ribosomal RNA
Source: RNAcentral
AGGGCACCACCAGGAGUGGAGCCUGCGGCUUAAUUUGACUCAACACGGGGAAACUUACCCGGCCUGGACACUGGAAGGAUUGACAGAUUGAGAGCUCUUUCUUGAUUCAGUGGGUGGUGGUGCAUGGCCGUUCUUAGUUGGUGGAGCGAUUUGUCUGGUUAAUUCCGAUAACGAACGAGACUCUAGCCUAUUAAAUAGGCUCUCGGCUUUUAAACGCCGGGAGGACUUCUUAGAGGGACAGGUGGCGGUUCAGCCGCACGAAAGAGAGCAAUAACAGGUCUGUGUAUGCCCUUUGUUGUCCGGGGCCGCACGCGCGCUGACUGAAGAGAUCAAGAUUGCUUUGCGUUACUGCUCUGCUCCGACUGGAGUGGGGAACCCACUGAACCUUCUUCGUGAUUGGGAUAGAAGAUUGUAAUUAUUCUUCUUGAACAAGGAAUUCCCAGUAAAUGCGAGUCAUAAGCUCGCGUUGAUUACGUCCCUGCCCUUUGUACACACCGCCCGUCGCUACUACCGAUUGAA